CUUCAGGCUGGCUAGUAGGCGGUGGCUAGGCUAACCAGCUCAAAACUCACGUUCCUCCUCUGGAGUCAUUCUGCUUCAUGGCAGGCAGCCUCGGUCUCUUUGAUGUGAAGAGGCGAAAAUCAAUUCAACAAGAAGGUGAACGGAAGAAGUUGAGUCCUCGUUCCUCAGUGUCAUCUAUGGCUCACUGGAGACAGAGCAGACCGUGACACAGACAGCUCGAUAUUUUGGCACCUAAUGGGGGAGGAUAACGGGAGCGAUGGUAUUAAACUGCGGAGACGAGUGUUGGACACCGCUGAUGUCACCGAGCGCAAGGCCAUGGGAGAAAUGCAGGCCAACGCACCCACUCUGUCGCUGAGGAAUUACGCAAAUCAGGGAGGCGUGUCAGUCACAACGAGCACCUCCACUUUCUGAUGCUUGGCUACGUGACUGAGGGGAAUGAAACACUUCUCGGCUGGUGCUGCUCUGCGCAGACGGUGCUUAGCUUUGUUCUCAGUCAUGCACGUGUGCUUUUAAUCUGUUUUUAUUAACAAAUCCCCAAUUUCUACACUGAUCAUAUCUCAAACGUCUUACUUCAGAUUUCCUCAAUUUGUUUAAACACCCUUCACCAUGGAUAUUUGUUAAAUAAAUUUGCUUAUAUUGAA
Electrophorus electricus (electric eel) is the source of this 641-nucleotide long non-coding RNA. RefSeq lists it as uncharacterized. The record is from RefSeq and is a predicted model, not a curated record. Lineage: Eukaryota; Metazoa; Chordata; Actinopteri; Gymnotiformes; Gymnotidae.